RNAcentral lists this ribosomal RNA (426 nucleotides) under uncultured bacterium. RNAcentral describes it as "bacterial SSU rRNA". It matches the Rfam family "Bacterial small subunit ribosomal RNA", at positions 354 to 796 of the family's 1533-position model. The record is from RNAcentral.
GUGAGGAAUUUUCCGCAAUGGGCGAAAGCCUGACGGAGCAAUGCCGCGUGAAGGAUGAAGGCCUAUGGGUUGUAAACUUCUUUUCUCAGAAAAGAAUUAUGACGGUAUCUGAGGAAUAAGCAUCGGCUAACUCUGUGCCAGCAGCCGCGGUAAGACAGAGGAUGCAAGCGUUAUCCGGAAUGAUUGGGCGUAAAGCGUCUGUAGGUUGUUUAAAAAGUAUUCUGUCAAAGAUUAGGGCUUAACCCUAGAUAGGCAGAAUAAACUUUUAAGCUAGAGGUUGGUAGAGGCAGAGGGAAUUCCCGGUGGAGCGGUGAAAUGCGUAGAUAUCGGGAGGAACACCAAAGGCGAAGGCACUCUGCUGGGCCAAUACUAACACUGAGAGACGAAAGCGAGGGGAGCAAAUGGGAUUAGAUACCCGAGUAGUCC